RNAcentral lists this ribosomal RNA (673 nucleotides) under uncultured organism. RNAcentral's name for it is "bacterial SSU rRNA". It matches the Rfam family "Bacterial small subunit ribosomal RNA", at positions 85 to 741 of the family's 1533-position model. The record is from RNAcentral.
UCUGAGUAAACUGGUGAACGGGUGAGUAACACGUAUGUAACCUGACCUCGAGACUGGGAUAAGAGUCGCGGACGCGAUGCUAAUACCGGAUAAAGCACAGGAUUCGCAUGGAUUUUGUGUUAAAGUUGGGUUCGGUUUGCACUUGAGGAUGGACCUGCGCCCCAUAAUGAGUCUGGUGAGGUAACGGCUCACCAAGACUGCGAUGGGUAGCCGGCCUGAGAGGGUGAUCGGCCACACUGGGACUGAGAUACGGCCGAGACUUCUACGGAAGGCAGCAGUAAGGAAUAUUGCGCAAUGGUCUAAAGACUGACGCAGCAACGCCGCGUGCAGGAUGAAGCUUCUAGGAGUGUAAACUGCCUUUAGUUGGGAAGAACAGACAGGUUUCGAAUAGGGACUUGUUUUGACGGUACCUUUAGAAAAAGCCCCGGCUAACUCCGUGCCAGCAGCCGCGGUAACACGGGGGGGGCAAGCGUUGUCCGGAAUUAUUGGGCGUAAAGGGCGCGCAGGCGGGAUGAUCAGUCUGAGGUGAAAUCUUUUGGCUUAACCGAAAGCUUGCCUUGGAUACUGUCAUUCUUGAGUUCGGAAGAGGGAAGUGGAAUUCCUGGUGUAGCGGUGAAAUGCGUAGAUCUCAGGAAGAACACCGGUGGCGAAAGCGGCUUCCUGGUCCGAUACU